RNAcentral lists this ribosomal RNA (197 nucleotides) under uncultured bacterium. RNAcentral describes it as "partial 16S ribosomal RNA". It matches the Rfam family "Bacterial small subunit ribosomal RNA", at positions 328 to 539 of the family's 1533-position model. The record is from RNAcentral.
ACGCUCGACACCUACGGGAGGCAGCAGUGGGGAAUAUUGCACAAUGGGGGAAACCCUGAUGCAGCGACGCCGCGUGAGCGAAGAAGUAUUUCGGUAUGUAAAGCUCUAUCAGCAGGGAAGAAACUGACGGUACCUGACCAAGAAGCACCGGCUAAAUACGUGCCAGCAGCCGGGUAAUCUGAGCGGGCUGGCAAGGC